UUAAUUGAAGCCAAAACAGAGGCUAUUCAUUGUUAAUGAAAAAACUGGUUUAUUAACCCAAUUAAA
Molecule: transfer RNA, 66 nt
Filed under: Alloeorhynchus bakeri
Lineage: Eukaryota; Metazoa; Arthropoda; Insecta; Hemiptera; Nabidae
Description: tRNA-Asn
Source: RNAcentral